AGAGUUUGAUCCUGGCUCAGGAUGAACGCUGGCGGCGUGCCUUAAGCAUGCAAGUCGAACGGAUGAGGCCGCAAGGCCGAACUAGUGGCGGACGGGUGAGUAAUGCGUAGGAAUCUGCCCCAAAGUGGGGAAUACCUCCUCGAAAGAGGAGCUAAUACCGCAUAUGAAAGUAAUUUUAAAGGGCGUAACUGCCCGCUUUAGGAUGAACCUACGUCCUAUCAGCUAGUUGGUGGGGUAACGGCCUACCAAGGCGAUGACGGGUAGCUGGUCUGAGAGGAUGAUCAGCCACAAUGGCACUGAGAUACGGGCCAUACACCUACGGGUGGCAGCAACUGGGAAUAUUGCGCAAUGGACGAAAGUCUGACGCAGCGACGCCGCGUGGAGGAUGAAGGCUUUAGGGUCGUAAACUCCUUUUGUAAGGGAAAACAUCGAUGGUACCUUACGAAUAAGCACCUGCAAACUACGUGCCAGCAGCCGCGGUAAUACGUAGGGUGCGAGCGUUAUCCGGAUUUAUUGGGCGUAAAGAGUCCGCAGGCGGUCUUUCAAGUCUAGAUUCAAAUACCAGGGCUCAACCCUGGAAAGGGUCUAGAUACUGGGAGACUAGAGGCAGAAAGAGGAAAGCAGAAUUACCAGUGGAGCAGUGAAAUGCGUUGAUAUUGGUAAGAAUACCAAAGGCGAAGGCAGCUUUCUGGGUCUGUCCUGACGCUCAUGGACGAAAGCUAGGGGAGCGAAGCAGAUUAGAGACCUGCGUAGUCCUAGCCGUAAAACGAUGGACACUAGAUAGUAGAGGCAACUUUACUGUCGCAAGCUAACGCGUUAAGUGUCCCGCCUGGGAGUACGGUCGCAAGACUAAAACUCAAAGGAAUUGACGGGGGACCGCACAAGCGGUGGAGCAUGUGGUUUAAUUCGAUACAAAGCGAAUAACCUCACCUGGGCUUGACAUGCAACUGGAAAUCCUAUGAAAGUAGGACCCCUUCGAGGCUGUUGCACAGGUGCUGCAUGGCUGUCGUCAGCUCGUGCCGUGAGGUGUUGGAUUAAGUUCCAUAACGAGCGCAACCCCUAUCCAAAGUUACAGAUGUCUUUGGAGACUGCUUCUUUAAAAAAGGAGAGGAAGGAGGGGAUGACGUCAAGUCAGCACGGCCCUUAUGCCCAGGGCUACACACAUCCUACAAUGGCGAACAACAACGGGAAGCAACACGGCAACGUGAAGCAAAUCCCUGAAAUUUCGCCUCAGUUCAGAUUGAGGGCUGAAACUCGCCCCCAUGAAGUCGGAAUCGCUAGUAAUCGCAGAUCAGCAAGGCUGCGGUGAAUACGUUCUCGGUCCUUGUACACACCGCCCGUCAAGCCAACAAAGUUGGGGGUACCCGAAAAUGGUGAUUUAACCCGCAAGGGAGAUAACCAUUGAAGGUGAACUCAGCGAUGGGGACUAAGUCGUAACAAGGUA
Molecule: ribosomal RNA, 1444 nt
Filed under: metagenome
Description: bacterial SSU rRNA
Rfam family: Bacterial small subunit ribosomal RNA
Source: RNAcentral